GAUGAACGCUGGCGGCGUGCUUAACACAUGCAAGUCGAACGAAGCACUUUUGAUUGAUUUCUUCGGAAAGAGAGAGACUGUGACUGAGUGGCGGACGGGUGAGUAACGCGUGGGUAACCUGCCUCAUACAGGGGGAUAACAGUUAGAAAUGACUGCUAAUACCGCAUAAGCACACAGCUUCGCAUGAAGCAGUGUGAAAAACUCCGGUGGUAUGAGAUGGACCCGCGUCUGAUUAGGUAGUUGGUGGGGUAACGGCUCACCAAGCCGACGAUCAGUAGCCGACCUGAGAGGGUGACCGGCCACAUUGGGACUGAGACACGGCCCAAACUCCUACGGGAGGCAGCAGUGGGGAAUAUUGCACAAUGGGGGAAACCCUGAUGCAGCGACGCCGCGUGAAGGAUGAAGUAUUUCGGUAUGUAAACUUC
Molecule: ribosomal RNA, 425 nt
Filed under: uncultured bacterium
Lineage: Bacteria
Description: bacterial SSU rRNA
Rfam family: Bacterial small subunit ribosomal RNA
Source: RNAcentral